UGGGGAAUAUUGGACAAUGGACCAAGAGUCUGAUCCAGCAAUUCUGUGUGCACGAUGACGUUUUUCGGAAUGUAAAGUGCUUUCAGUUGGGAAGAAAAAAAUGACGGUACCAACAGAAGAAGUGACGGCUAAAUACGUGCCAGCAGCCGCGGUAAUACGUAUGUCACGAGCGUUAUCCGGAUUUAUUGGGCGUAAAGCGCGUCUAGGUGGUUAUGUAAGUCUGAUGUGAAAAUGCAGGGCUCAACUCUGUAUUGCGUUGGAAACUGUGUAACUAGAGUACUGGAGAGGUAAGCAGAACUACAAGUGUAGAGGUGAAAUUCGUAGAUAUUUGUAGGAAUGCCGAUGGGGAAGCCAGCUUACUGGACAGAUACUGACGCUGAAGCGCGAAAGCGUGGGUAGCAAACAGGAUUAGAUACCCUGGUAGUCCACGCCGUAAACGAUGAUUACUAGGUGUUGGGGGUCGAACCUCAGCGCCCAAGCAAACGCGAUAAGUAAUCCGCCUGGGGAGUACGUACGCAAGUAUG
RNAcentral lists this ribosomal RNA (524 nucleotides) under uncultured bacterium. RNAcentral's name for it is "bacterial SSU rRNA". It matches the Rfam family "Bacterial small subunit ribosomal RNA", at positions 355 to 896 of the family's 1533-position model. The record is from RNAcentral.